Molecule: long non-coding RNA, 667 nt
Filed under: Malus domestica (apple)
Lineage: Eukaryota; Viridiplantae; Streptophyta; Magnoliopsida; Rosales; Rosaceae
Description: long non-coding RNA (MDOM_LNC008608)
Source: RNAcentral
GGCACUACUCUGCACAUAAGUCGGAACUACCUGAAGUAGUCUGUACGACAAGAAUGGUGUAAUGAUACGCUCUAGUGCUUCUCUCAUCAAUCAUAUGCGCGCAUAAUCUAAGGUCACCUACUAGUCGGAACCACCUCUAGUGAUCUGUACGACUAGCAUGUCGGAACCCUUUCAUGGUCUGUACGACAUGCACCUACUUGGAUCGAAGGUGAGCGUGCGAUGCGGUGAAUAAUAUAAGCACUAACACCAGGGGUGCAGGUUAUGAGCUCUCAACACAAUUCACAUCAUCAAUGAUUCACAUGAGUAACAUAAAACUCACCUGAUACUCACCUGUGCGUCCACAGCACCAAUUCACAUAUAUAUAUAUGCAUCAAUAUCAAUUCAUAUAAUUCAUAAUAUGCAUGCAUGGCAUUUGAAAACAUACUUUCAUAUAAAUUCAAUUUCUGGGAAAAUCAAUAGUAUAUAGGUAUAUACUGAAAACAAAAUUGCCCACUCACUGGUAAGUCGAUGGGUCGUAACCCCCGUGACGUCCCUGGAUGCGCUCGUCCUCGGGAUAGGUGUCACCUAUAUGCGAAACAACUAUAAAAACAUUAAUUUAAGCACAUAACCGACAAUUCGAAAUAACUUCUCAUAUGGUGCUCAAUUUGGGUAUAUGAAUAUACCACAU